This 505-nucleotide ribosomal RNA is filed under the name uncultured bacterium. Its description in RNAcentral is "partial 16S ribosomal RNA". It matches the Rfam family "Bacterial small subunit ribosomal RNA", at positions 28 to 507 of the family's 1533-position model. The record is from RNAcentral.
GACGAACGCUGGCGGCGUGCCUAAUACAUGCAAGUAGAACGCACAGUUUAUACCGUAGCUUGCUACACCAUAGACUGUGAGUUGCGAACGGGUGAGUAACGCGUAGGUAACCUGCCUGGUAGCGGGGGAUAACUAUUGGAAACGAUAGCUAAUACCGCAUAAUAUUAAUUAUUGCAUGAUAAUUAAUUGAAAGGUGCAAUUGCACCACUACCAGAUGGACCUGCGUUGUAUUAGCUAGUAGGUGAGGUAACGGCUCACCUAGGCGACGAUACAUAGCCGACCUGAGAGGGUGAUCGGCCAAACUGGGACUGAGACACGGCCCAGACUCCUACGGGAGGCAGCAGUAGGGAAUCUUCGGCAAGGGACGAAAGUCUGACCGAGCAACGCCGCGUGAGUGAAGAAGGGUUUCGGAUCGGAAAGCUCUGUUGUAAGAGAAGAUCGGGUGUGAGAGUGGAAAGUUCACACUGUGACGGUAUCUUACCAGAAAGGGACGGCUAACUACGUG